RNAcentral lists this ribosomal RNA (301 nucleotides) under uncultured bacterium. Its description in RNAcentral is "partial 16S ribosomal RNA". It matches the Rfam family "Bacterial small subunit ribosomal RNA", at positions 512 to 809 of the family's 1533-position model. The record is from RNAcentral.
CAUAGCCGCGGGAAUACGUAGGUGGCAAGCGUUGUCCGGAAUUAUUGGGCGUAAAGGGCUCGCAGGCGGUUUCUUAAGUCUGAUGUGAAAGCCCCCGGCUCAACCGGGGAGGGUCAUUGGAAACUGGAAAACUUGAGUGCAGAAGAGGAGAGUGGAAUUCCACGUGUAGCGGUGAAUGCGUAGAGAUGUGGAGGAACACCAGUGGCGAAGGCGACUCUCUGGUCUGUAACUGACGCUGAGGAGCGAAAGCGUGGGGAGCGAACAGGAUUAGAUACCCGGGUAGUCCCUGUCUCUUAUACAC